This 360-nucleotide ribosomal RNA is filed under the name uncultured bacterium. RNAcentral's name for it is "partial 16S ribosomal RNA". It matches the Rfam family "Bacterial small subunit ribosomal RNA", at positions 338 to 696 of the family's 1533-position model. The record is from RNAcentral.
CCUACGGGUGGCAGCAGUGAGGAAUAUUGGUCAAUGGCCGGAAGGCUGAACCAGCCAAGCCGCGUGAAUGACGAAGGUGCCCAGCUUUGUAAACUUCUUUUGUCAAGGGAAAAAAUCAGGCUAGAGAGCCUGCCCGAGGGUACUUGAAGAAAAAGCAUCGGCUAACUCCGUGCCCGCACCCGCGGUAAUGAGGUGGAUGCGAGCGUUAUCAGGAUUUAUGGGGUUUAAAGGGGGCGUAGGCGGACUGUUAAGUCCGCGGUAAAAGCCAGGGGCUCAACCGCGGCGAGCCGUUGAAACUGGCUGACUUGAGAUGUAGAGAGGUAAGCGGAAUGAGAAGUGAAGCGGUGGAAUGCUUAGAUA